ACAAGCAAUCUUCAAAAAAGUUCUUUUUUAGUGCUAGUUCUAGUGUACGUUUUUUGUCAUUUUUAUUCUAAAUAACUUUUCUUUUAUUUUGAAUUGUUUUUAGUUAUUUCAUUGUUUAUUUUUACAGCUUGCUUUGUUGGAUUUUAAUAAUAAUGGUGGUUCUCAACAAAUUGAUUUAAUUUGUGAUUCUUGGGUCAAAUGGGUGGAUUUCAACCAAGUUGAUUUGUCUAAGUUUGAUCUGAUUGUUGUUCCGAUAUUGAAAGGCAGUCAGUACUUCUUACUUCUUUUGAAUAUGAAGUUAAGAAUGGUUCAAUGGAUAGACAAUGUGAACCAUACUGCUGUUUCAGAAGAAGAAAUUAGAAAGCUCGGUGACACUAUGAAAGAUUUGUUGUCAACAAUUUUUGAUGAUAAGAUGCAAGCUACUGAUGUUAUUCCAUUAUGGAAAAUGGAACGAGUUCCCACUGAUUAGAAAAUGACUGCUAGGACGAACAUUGAAAGUGAUGUAUUUAUGAUGAUGAGCAUGCUGUUUUUCGAGGGAACAGUUGAUUUCCAGUGUCCAAUAUUGAAUGCAGCUCCAUUGAGACAUGUUGCAAGAGUUAAGAUUGCUGGAUCUUUAUUGUUAUCUGAUUUGAACAAACAAAGAUCUACAGUUUUAGAAGAGGUGUCCAAUUUUAAGGAUAAAAGACGCUCCAUUGCCAAACAAGUUUCUAUCAGAAGAUUAAAGAUUCGUUAAUGUGAAGUACAAGAUGAAGUUGUGAAUUUUUAAGUUGUACAAACAUUUGAUGGAACAUAGUAGAUAAUCAGGCACUUAGGCUUAGGCUUUAGGUCCAAACUCCAAAGUGCUAACAGGACUUGAAACAUUAUGGUGAUUGGACUUUGAAACAUUAAGUAUUAAACCUGCAAGAGCAAGGUUUACACAAGCAUUGAUUUUCUUUCUAAUUAUGUGUCAUUAGGUUGGA
Amaranthus tricolor (Joseph's coat) is the source of this 959-nucleotide long non-coding RNA. RefSeq lists it as uncharacterized. NCBI's taxonomy places the organism in Eukaryota, Viridiplantae, Streptophyta, Magnoliopsida, Caryophyllales, Amaranthaceae. The transcript has 4 exons. The record is from RefSeq and is a predicted model, not a curated record.